UAUAAUAUUGGUCCUUUCAGAGUAAAACGUUAUAUAGAUAUAUAUAUAUAUAUAUAUAUAUAUAUAUAUAUAUAUAUAUAUAUAUAAAAACGUUUUACUCUGAAAGGACCAAUAUUAUA
This is a non-coding RNA of Pelobates cultripes (western spadefoot toad), 119 nucleotides long. The record is from the annotation of a GenBank genome assembly. NCBI's taxonomy places the organism in Eukaryota, Metazoa, Chordata, Amphibia, Anura, Pelobatidae.